AACACUGUUAACCUGCGGUACCUGCGGAGGGAUCAUUAUUGAUUCAAAGAGGUGAUGUGCUGGCUCUUUAAACAAAGAGCAUUGUGCACUCCCUCAAAUCAUCAUAUUCACCUGUGCACAAUUUGAUAGGCAAGUGAAAAAAGGGAAUGGGCAACAUUCUUAAGAUUUGCUUGACUUAUCGUUCUUUUUAUCUAUACACACACUUUAUAUGAAUGUGAACAAAUAUAAAAAUUUGUAACA
This 240-nucleotide unclassified non-coding RNA is filed under the name soil metagenome. Its description in RNAcentral is "partial contains 5.8S ribosomal RNA, internal transcribed spacer 2, and large subunit ribosomal RNA". The record is from RNAcentral.